This 459-nucleotide ribosomal RNA is filed under the name uncultured bacterium. Its description in RNAcentral is "partial 16S ribosomal RNA". It matches the Rfam family "Bacterial small subunit ribosomal RNA", at positions 338 to 795 of the family's 1533-position model. The record is from RNAcentral.
CCUACGGGUGGCAGCAGUGAGGAAUAUUGGUCAAUGGGAGAGAUCCUGAACCAGCCAAGCCGCGUGAGGGAAGACGGCCCUAUGGGUUGUAAACAUCUUUUGUCGGAGAACAAAACCCGGGACGUGUACAGGACUGCGUGUAGACGAAGAAAAAGCAUCGGCAAACACCGUGCCAGCAGCCGCGGUAAUACGGAGGAUGCGAGCGGUAACCGGAUUUAUGGGGUUGACAGGGUGAGUAGGCGGUCCGUUAAGUCAGCGGUAAAAUUGCGGGGCUCAACCCCGUCGAGCCGUUGAAACUGGCAGACUUGAGUUGGCGAGAAGUACGCGGAAUGCGCGGUGUAGCGGUGAAAUGCAUAGAUAUCGCGCAGAACUCCGAUUGCGAAGGCAGCGUACCGGCGCCAGACUGACGCUGAGGCACGAAAGCGUGGGGAUCGAACAGGAUUAGAUACCCUGGUAGUC